UUUUUUUUAAGGAAGAAAAUCGAAUCAAACAUUCCUAAUAAUCAUCAAAUCCAAGUCCAAAGGAUCGUAGCCAACCCAUGUGAUAUGAGGGCUAAAAUGGACUUCCUGAAUUUACAAUCAAACGGUAAGACAUAGGAUUACAAUUAUACACUAGGUGACCAUCCAGUAAAUCAAGCUUUAAACAAAGAAUUAUCAUUUUUAUUAUCACCGUAGAUGGUGGGAUGAUCACGAGCAAAAAAAGGCAUAACCCUCGUAAAUUUGUGUCAUCAAACUCUGCAAACGCAAAAUUGACUGAGUUUGCGUUUUAGCGCCUCAAAAGAACCCAACACUUUUAUUCUACUCAACCACUGUUUCCUAUCUAAUGACUGAUGGCGAGGGAAAAAAAAA
RNAcentral lists this unclassified non-coding RNA (387 nucleotides) under Hevea brasiliensis (rubber tree). The record is from RNAcentral. Lineage: Eukaryota; Viridiplantae; Streptophyta; Magnoliopsida; Malpighiales; Euphorbiaceae.